Paramisgurnus dabryanus is the source of this 1225-nucleotide non-coding RNA. Lineage: Eukaryota; Metazoa; Chordata; Actinopteri; Cypriniformes; Cobitidae. The record is from RefSeq and is a predicted model, not a curated record.
UACGGAAAGGGUAGGUACAAUACGCUGACGUCACGCAUCUGAGCCUCCGGUGGGAGGAAACCCGGAAGUAUCGCCGUGAAUCACAUGAGAGUUGUGAAUGCGAUGUUGUGUAUUAGGCUGUACAUAAUAUUAACGGAAAGAGAGUGAUAAUAUAUAACCUUUCAUCGCUUCCGAAGUGACUAAAAGGGAUAUUGGACCUUAUUUUCAGAUUACAGACAACACGAGAGGGUGCUUCAAACUUUUUAAUCAGGACUGCAUUGUUUGUUCGCUCCCGGGGUUACAUAGACUGAAACGAGGAAGUGUGACGAGUUUGUUUACAUGGUGCUGUAAACUUCAACCCAGGAGGACACUUCAAAGGAAUCAAGGUGUCUGUGAUAUUGAAACACUAAAGGAAGAAGAGGAGGACCACCAUUCGUUUCCUGAGCAGAAAAAAAAUUAAGCAUAUCUAACAGUGGUUCUGGGGCAUUGCAAGACUAUGGUUACCUGGAAACAUCUCCUAUUAUGGAAGAUUAUCGCAACAUUUGUGUCUUGGAUCAUUUUUUCUUGUUUCUCUGCCACAGAUUUAGCUGUAAGGUUUAAAGGUCCCGUUUAUCCUGAUCCCAUUUUUUAAACUUUAGUUGGUGUGUAAUGUUGCUGUUAGAGCAUAAAUAAUAUCUGUAAAAUUAUAAAGCUCAAAAUUCUAUACCAAGCGAUAUAUUUUCUUUAAUAGAAUUUCCCUUUCAAAGCCUAUAGCAAACGGCCAGUUUGGACUACAGCCCUCUACUUCUCGAUUGAAUGACAUCCAAAGAAGAGUUUUUUACUAACCUCUGCCCACUGGAAUAUGUCAGUCGCCAGCUAAACUCAAGUGGCUCUACCAAGCUGCUGUUGAAUCACAGCACACUAAACAAACUACAUAAUCAGAACUCGAUAGGUAUUUCUGAAGGAGGGACUUUAUAGAACAAGGAAGACAUCAGCUCGUUUUUAGUAAAGUAAAAACAGCGCUAGAGAGUAUGUGAAAAAUAUUGUCUUUUUUUACACACAAAACAUGAACACACGCUAUAUUGCACACCAUAAACACAAUCAUAGUUUGUGUUAAAUACUCUCAUUCUCACGGCACCCAUUCACGGCAGAGGAUCCCAUUGUAAGCAAUGUAAUGCUUAAUUUCUCCAAAUCUGUUCCAGUGAAAAAACAAACCAUCUAUAUCUUGGGUGAAAAAUUACUUUAAUCCCAAAAACAAACGUUUUUC